This 24-nucleotide non-coding RNA is filed under the name Arabidopsis thaliana (thale cress). Lineage: Eukaryota; Viridiplantae; Streptophyta; Magnoliopsida; Brassicales; Brassicaceae. The record is from RNAcentral.
CCAUCAAGUUGUUGAAAUUGCUGC